AGGGAAAGUCCGUAAUAAUUCAAGAUAUUUCGGACGAACUCCAGAAUCGAGAAGCGAAGACCUGCCCGAAGGUCCUCGACAUAAAAGGCCACCUGGCCCGGAGGCGGGUUGUUAACCUGACCCACAGCCCCAGGGCGAAAAGUUCGAACUACUCCGGGAUACCAUACUGCUCCCUAAGUCGUUCGACAUUCGACCCCAAAAGUAAGAAGCCUCCACCUCUGGGGUCGAUCGAGAAUCAUCGAUCGGAUUCCCCGACUGACUUCCUCGAGAAGAGGUUCUAGCCAUAACACUAGCCCCAAGAAAAGAGAACAAAAAGGAAAAUGCCAAGGGAGUAAGGAUGCAAGGAGACAAGAAUGAAAAAACUUCGAGAAGAGCUUUCAAAGAAGGAGGACGGAAACAGCUACCUAGAACUGGGAGACAACUCGACAGGGCCUCAGCGCC
RNAcentral lists this long non-coding RNA (441 nucleotides) under Elaeis guineensis (African oil palm). RNAcentral's name for it is "long non-coding RNA (EGUI_LNC011066)". The record is from RNAcentral. Lineage: Eukaryota; Viridiplantae; Streptophyta; Magnoliopsida; Arecales; Arecaceae.